This 1017-nucleotide long non-coding RNA is filed under the name Daphnia magna. RNAcentral describes it as "uncharacterized LOC123469856, transcript variant X3". The record is from RNAcentral. Lineage: Eukaryota; Metazoa; Arthropoda; Branchiopoda; Diplostraca; Daphniidae.
ACGACAUGUUUCAAUUGCAACUUGGUCUCCGUGGCCUAGGCCAACGUUUUGGCUCUCCAAAUGAGCCAAAGCAUUGGCUUAGGGCAUCCCUUUUUCAAUGCUGAUUUUACAUGGGAUCACGGGAUUCUACCUUCUUUGGUUUUCUCAUGUGGUUUUCCCAGCUAGUUUCGUCGUCAGAUUUGACAUUUGGAUUCUUUACGGCCUUUUCUUUUCAAAUUUUGUUAAAACUAAAUUCGAAAUAGAAAGGAUAAAAUCAUGAAAGAGUGGGAAAGAAACUGUUUUUGUGUGGAGGAGUCAUUUUAUUGUAUGUAAAAGAUUUCUAAAAAUUUGUGGAGGAAGCUUUAUUCUACGAAUGUACACAUUUUUAGGGGUAAUAAAUGAAAUUUAAAAAGUCAUUUUUAAAGCAAUGGUCAAAAUUACAAAUCUCUAGGAAAUUCUGGAUUGAUUUCAGGAUCUAAAGUUACGGUCAAAGAUUCAACAGAUUACGUUUAUAUACUUUUUUCUCGUAAACAACAGUUUUGCUUAACGACCUGCAACAAAUUAUCUUUAAUUUUAAUCUUUUGACAGUUUAUCCCUGAAGAUAAGUUGAACCCAAGUUCCAUGAAGGAAACCAUAGAGUCAUCAAAAGAUCAACACCAACUAUUUUGGAUAAAGGACUAUAUAGGGAUGUUAUGUCAGGAAGGAUUUCCACCUCAGUACUGUAUGUAGCCGAGGAAAAGUAAGAUUUACAUUCAAAAUGGAAGGUACUAACUACACAUAAAAUGGAAAAAUGGAAUGGAUAAAACAAUUUUAUUCACAGUUGUAUGAACGAAAGAGAAGAAGUACUUCCACAACAAAUGCCAGGAGCAUUUAUGUGGGAAUUGCGACUUUGAAAAGCAUAGACAACUUUUCAGUCAUCGUCGUUGUCAUUUAUUCCUUGACAACCACCUUGUCUUGUUACGGCCAACGAAAUUCGUAAGCCUUGAAGGAGUCAUUACAGUCAUAGACAUUCUGAUUCCUCUUUACGUUCCAACAGCU